GAUGAACGCUGGCGGCGUGCCUAAUACAUGCAAGUCGAGCGAACGGACGAGAAGCUUGCUUCUCUGAUGUUAGCGGCGGACGGGUGAGUAACACGUGGAUAACCUACCUAUAAGACUGGGAUAACUUCGGGAAACCGGAGCUAAUACCGGAUAAUAUUUUGAACCGCAUGGUUCAAAAGUGAAAGACGGUCUUGCCGUCACUUAUAGAUGGAUCCGCGCUGCAUUAGCUAGCUGGUAAGGUAACGGCUUACCAAGGCAACGAUGCAUAGCCGACCUGAGAGGGUGAUCGGCCACACUGGAACUGAGACACGGUCCAGACUCCUACGGGAGGCAGCAGUAGGGAAUCUUCCGCAAUGGGCGAAAGCCUGACGGAGCAACGCCGCGUGAGUGAUGAAGGUCUUCGGAUCGUAAAACUCUGUUAUUAGGGAAGAACAUAUGUGUAAGUAACUGUGCACAUCUUGACGGUACCUAAUCAGAAAGCCACGGCUAACUACGUG
RNAcentral lists this ribosomal RNA (497 nucleotides) under uncultured bacterium. RNAcentral describes it as "partial 16S ribosomal RNA". It matches the Rfam family "Bacterial small subunit ribosomal RNA", at positions 28 to 507 of the family's 1533-position model. The record is from RNAcentral.